GUCGGAGAGUUUGAUCCCGGCUCAGGAUAAACGCUGGCGGCGUGCCUUAUGCAUGCAAGUCGUACGGUCCUUCUCUUCGGAGAAGGAUAGUGGCGGACGGCUGAGUAACGCGUAGGUAACCUGCCCCCAAGUGGGGGAUAACUCCGGGAAACUGGAGCUAAUACCGCAUGUGGUGGUGGGACAGAAGUUCCAUCACUAAAGCCGCAAGGCGCUUGGGGAGGGGCCUGCGUCCUAUCAGGUAGUUGGUGGGGUAACGGCUCACCAAGCCGAUGACGGGUAGCUGGUCUGAGAGGAUGGCCAGCCAGACGGGGACUGA
This 316-nucleotide ribosomal RNA is filed under the name Dehalococcoidia bacterium. RNAcentral describes it as "bacterial SSU rRNA". It matches the Rfam family "Bacterial small subunit ribosomal RNA", at positions 1 to 322 of the family's 1533-position model. Lineage: Bacteria; Bacillati; Chloroflexota; Dehalococcoidia. The record is from RNAcentral.